AAAAUAUCAUGGAUAAUGUUGCAAUAAAGUAAUGAACCAGGCUGCAUCUAUAGGUUCGCUUAUAUUAGUGGGGAAAAAAUCGUUUGUGUUUUUGUGCACUGAAGAAAUUAAAAGUAUCACUGUGUAGUCGCUUUGACUACUGGGGAAAGGGAACCGCGGUGACUGUAACAUCAGAUUCUAAAUCACCACCGAAUGUGUUCCCAAUGUCUCAGUGUCAAUCUUCCUCGGAUUCCCUAUUUAUUGGCUGUCUGGCCUCUGAUUCUCUUAAUUUAAAACUGAAGGACAGUGGGAAAGACCUGACUGGUAUCAUCGAGUACCCUCCAGUGAAAACUGGAGACAAGACAUUUCAAGUCAGUCUUUUGAGUAUUACCAAACAGAAAAUGGAGCAAAGCAACAUAACUUGUGAUGCAGAGAACCAAAUUGGCAAAGUUAGUAAACAAUUCAAAGUGAAUCCACAAGAACCAACCCUGAGCUUGGUUCCUGUAAUAACGCAGAAAAAUACAUUUGCCAUGUGUGUUAUUGAGGAUUUUUACCCCAUGGACAUCACUGCACGUUGGAAAGAAAAUGAUGUAUACAGUCAGAGACGGACAAAAUUGGAAUACAAACGCAAUACUGAAGGUCUUUUCACAGCACACAGUUUUUAUGAAGUCAGCAGCAAGACUUGGAAUGAAAAAACUCGCUAUACCUGUGAGGUCACAUACCAGAAAAAACUGAUUACUUUGACGAAGAAUUUCAAAGCUACAUUCGGAUUAACGCUAAAUCCACCAAUUGAGAGAGAACUAUUUGUCAAUAAUAAAACUGUCUUGGAAGCUGUUGUUUCUGGAGAUGUAAAAGAGAUGGUGCAAGCAGCUUUAGUGUCGUGCAAAGUGAAGGAUGAAAACGUAGCCAGUAUCACAUCAGAAAAUAUUGUCCCUUCUACAGACACUUCACAGUUUACGAAAAAACACAAAGUCAUCAUUGAUACAAAUAAAUGGUUUGAUGGUGAAUAUGUCACUUGCACCAUCCAUGACACAAAUAAUAACAGACCCAUCGAGCAGAAGAUCCAUUUUGAUAAAGGAGAUGGAAGGAAACCCAAUGCUACCAUUUACAGACCUGAUGAUAUCAAGGCAGAUCCUGUCUCUCUGGUGUGCAAGGUCACCAGCUCUAAUCUUGGCAAUGUCUAUAUCAUGUGGAAAGUGGGUGAUGAGUCUUACAAAGAGGGCAGAACCAGUGCUCCAAUCCGUCAAAAUGACUCCACGUCUAUUCUCAGCAUCCUAACAAUCCCAAAGAAAACAUAUGAAAAACCCCAAACCACCGUCACCUGCGCAGUCAAACAUGCCAACAUGGACAAAAUAGGAUCUCCACUACAAGUGACAACAAGCCAAACAGAGCCACCUGAGCCAGAGAAGGGUUUUGCUCUGAACUGUAAUAAUGAUGCUCUGGAGGAGGAUGAGUUCAGAAGUCUCUGGUCCACUGCCACUUCAUUCAUCUUCCUCUUCCUCUUUUCUCUGACAUACAGCGCUGUACUCAGCCUCUUAAGGAUGAAGCAGUGAUGAUUUUUUCAAAAGAAUUUCUGAAGACUCCAAGGUUUCUUACGUCGAAUAUACAUAAUGUGUCUCUAUAUACACAUUUUUGAAGAUAUUGACAAAUAUGUACUCAGUGUUCACAC
Molecule: non-coding RNA, 1648 nt
Organism: Megalobrama amblycephala (Wuchang bream)
Lineage: Eukaryota; Metazoa; Chordata; Actinopteri; Cypriniformes; Xenocyprididae
Source: the annotation of a RefSeq genome assembly